This 489-nucleotide ribosomal RNA is filed under the name uncultured bacterium. RNAcentral's name for it is "partial 16S ribosomal RNA". It matches the Rfam family "Bacterial small subunit ribosomal RNA", at positions 28 to 523 of the family's 1533-position model. The record is from RNAcentral.
GACGAACGCUGGCGGCGUGCUUAACACAUGCAAGUCGAACGAUGAACCCGGGGCUUGCUCCGGUGGAUUAGUGGCGAACGGGUGAGUAACACGUGAGUAACCUGCCCUUGACUCUGGGAUAACUGCGGGAAACUGUAGCUAAUACCGGAUAAGCCCUUACGGGGAAAGAUUUAUCGCCGAAAGAUCGGCCCGCGUCUGAUUAGCUAGUUGGUAAGGUAAAGGCCUACCAAGGCAACGAGCUGUAGUUGGUCUGAGAGGACGGCCAGCCACACUGGGACUGAGACACGGCCCAGACUCCUACGGGAGGCAGCAGUGGGGAAUUUUGGACAAUGGGCGCAAGCCUGAUCCAGCAAUGCCGCGUGCAGGAAGAAGGCCUUCGGGUUGUAAACUGCUUUUGUCAGGGAAGAAAUCUUCUGGGUUAAUACCUCGGGAGGAUGACGGUACCUGAAGAAUAAGCACCGGCUAACUACGUGCCAGCCGCCGCGGUAA